RNAcentral lists this ribosomal RNA (653 nucleotides) under Klebsiella pneumoniae. RNAcentral's name for it is "bacterial SSU rRNA". It matches the Rfam family "Bacterial small subunit ribosomal RNA", at positions 867 to 1520 of the family's 1533-position model. Lineage: Bacteria; Pseudomonadati; Pseudomonadota; Gammaproteobacteria; Enterobacterales; Enterobacteriaceae. The record is from RNAcentral.
GACCGCCUGGGGAGUACGGCCGCAAGGUUAAAACUCAAAUGAAUUGACGGGGGCCCGCACAAGCGGUGGAGCAUGUGGUUUAAUUCGAUGCAACGCGAAGAACCUUACCUGGUCUUGACAUCCACAGAACUUUCCAGAGAUGGAUUGGUGCCUUCGGGAACUGUGAGACAGGUGCUGCAUGGCUGUCGUCAGCUCGUGUUGUGAAAUGUUGGGUUAAGUCCCGCAACGAGCGCAACCCUUAUCCUUUGUUGCCAGCGGUUAGGCCGGGAACUCAAAGGAGACUGCCAGUGAUAAACUGGAGGAAGGUGGGGAUGACGUCAAGUCAUCAUGGCCCUUACGACCAGGGCUACACACGUGCUACAAUGGCAUAUACAAAGAGAAGCGACCUCGCGAGAGCAAGCGGACCUCAUAAAGUAUGUCGUAGUCCGGAUUGGAGUCUGCAACUCGACUCCAUGAAGUCGGAAUCGCUAGUAAUCGUAGAUCAGAAUGCUACGGUGAAUACGUUCCCGGGCCUUGUACACACCGCCCGUCACACCAUGGGAGUGGGUUGCAAAAGAAGUAGGUAGCUUAACCUUCGGGAGGGCGCUUACCACUUUGUGAUUCAUGACUGGGGUGAAGUCGUAACAAGGUAACCGUAGGGGAACCUGCGGUUG